UUCCGGCUCUGAAAGAGUCAUGAAAACCCAGAAUCGGGGGGGAGGGGCGGGGGUAUUUAUCGCCUCUUCACCCAGCCUGCGCGCGCCCGCGCCCGGCCCGCGCCGCCCCCAGGAGCGGCCGAGAAGGAUCCGCCGGCGGCUGCGAGAGGAAACGUGGCGCGAGGCGAUGAGGCAGAUCCGGGGCGGCCCGCCCGCCGGGGCAGGGGCACGCGCACGCGCACAGCGCCCCCUGCCGACCCGCGCGGCCCCGGUACCUUGCGGAGAGGCUUCUUUGGUAGCCGGGAAAGGGACAGCUAUGCAAGAUGAAUUCAGCCUGUGAUGAUGGCAAGGUUGAAGAACAGAGGGGGAAUAACGGGCACUUGUUUUCUCUGCUUAUAAUCAUGCCACAAAGGCCUUGCAAACAUAACUGCAUCUAUGAAGAGUGAUCCCUGCCCCCUCCCCAGCUUUCCUUCAUUGUCGUUAUAUGACGAUAACCUCUAGGAGCUCCAGGGAAGAUCCAGAUGACGCUGUGCCAUGCACUACACAAUUAUACAGUAAGAGAGAGUUCCUUUUCUGAAGGGCCGCAUGCAAGUAGACACGACUGACAAAAGGAAACAGAAGCACUAGGAGGUGAAGGGACUCUGCUAAGGUCAGAGCGCUAUUUAGAAACAAGGCCACAAUCAGAACUCGGGUCUUCCCGUAGUUCACAGCUCUCUAGCACGGCAGGCACUUGACCUAUUGCCAGGGACCACCGUCCAGACAGGCUUGCACGCGAUGGAAAUAGAAAUACUAAUAGCAGAAAUAAUCCCAUUGACUCCAUCCGCUGUAAAUGUGAUGUUACUAAGAAAGCUCCAACAUAUUCAGUGACAUUUCUAAGUACGGUAAGAGAAUAUUCUAAGUUACCGAGGGCACUGUACAACCAAAAAUGUCUGAAUUAAUGUGAAAGGGGAGAAAGAAAAAGAAUCAGACCCAAAUAAUAAUACAACACAGUGCUGGAUUUUACAAUGUGUCACUCACAUACCUUUCUUAUAUGCAAUGCACACUGAGACACAUCUUGUAGUCCUUAAUUUUUAAUUGGGUAAAGUUCCUAUUGAAGUCAAUGGGAUUUUUGCCUGAGUAAGUAAAGGAUAGAGCUCAUUAUUAUGCCUAGUGUUUCUAACCAUGGAACUGUUACAGUAGAGUGUCAGGAUAAAUGGGGACAGUCGACAAGGAGAGGCAUAAAGAGCUGGUAACAGUGCUGAAGAAGGAAUCUGUUCAAUGAGAAGCAACAGCAAUAAAAUACUUAUUUUCUAAAUUUA
This is a long non-coding RNA of Alligator mississippiensis (American alligator), 1277 nucleotides long. RefSeq lists it as uncharacterized. The transcript is spliced from 2 exons. NCBI's taxonomy places the organism in Eukaryota, Metazoa, Chordata, Crocodylia, Alligatoridae. The record is from RefSeq and is a predicted model, not a curated record.